This 497-nucleotide ribosomal RNA is filed under the name uncultured bacterium. RNAcentral describes it as "partial 16S ribosomal RNA". It matches the Rfam family "Bacterial small subunit ribosomal RNA", at positions 28 to 507 of the family's 1533-position model. The record is from RNAcentral.
GAUGAACGCUGGCGGCGUGCCUAAUACAUGCAAGUCGAGCGAACAGACGAGAAGCUUGCUUCUCUGAUGUUAGCGGCGGACGGGUGAGUAACACGUGGAUAACCUACCUAUAAGACUGGGAUAACUUCGGGAAACCGGAGCUAAUACCGGAUAAUAUUUUGAACCGCAUGGUUCAAAAGUGAAAGACGGUCUUGCUGUCACUUAUAGAUGGAUCCGCGCUGCAUUAGCUAGUUGGUAAGGUAACGGCUUACCAAGGCAACGAUGCAUAGCCGACCUGAGAGGGUGAUCGGCCACACUGGAACUGAGACACGGUCCAGACUCCUACGGGAGGCAGCAGUAGGGAAUCUUCCGCAAUGGGCGAGAGCCUGACGGAGCAACGCCGCGUGAGUGAUGAAGGUCUUCGGAUCGUAAAACUCUGUUAUUAGGGAAGAACAUAUGUGUAAGUAACUGUGCACAUCUUGACGGUACCUAAUCAGAAAGCCACGGCUAACUACGUG